This 99-nucleotide non-coding RNA is filed under the name Roseicyclus elongatus. RNAcentral describes it as "Roseibacterium elongatum Glycine sequence". It matches the Rfam family "Glycine riboswitch aptamer". Rfam says of the family: This family represents the bacterial glycine riboswitch. Glycine riboswitches usually consist of two metabolite-binding aptamers domains with similar structures in tandem. The aptamers cooperatively bind glycine to regulate the expression of downstream genes. The record is from RNAcentral. RNAcentral also lists the same sequence under 1 other name. Lineage: Bacteria; Pseudomonadati; Pseudomonadota; Alphaproteobacteria; Rhodobacterales; Roseobacteraceae.
AUCCGCGCGAGGGAGACGCUGCCCCCCAGAUCAUCGGGGUCAGGGCCGAAGGAGCAACCGCCCCGGUAAACUCUCAGGCAAAGGGACCUUGGCGGACCA